AAGGGGUACACAAGGUAGGGCCUAUCCUAACCACCCUCCCUACCUCCCAGGGGGGGCCGAUGCUGAUGGGGCCCACGGGGAGCCCACAGGUAGAGACCAUGCUGCGGGAGCUGGGGGAGCUGUGGGAGGACCUGCAGAGGAAGCACCAGGAGAACGGCGCUGUGCUGCGGGAAAUUGAUAAGUCACUGAAGCUGGUGGGGGAGCUGGACCGGGCCGAGCGGUGGCUGCAGUCUGUGGCUGGGUCACUCUUGGAGCCAGCCGCCAUGAGAAGCCCGGUGGAGCUGCGGCAGGACCUGGAGGAGACGGGCCAGCUGGAGAGGCAGCUGGUGCUGUGCGGCCUCAAGCUCCAGGCACUGCGGGAGGAGGCAGCGGGCAAGCCACCUGCCGAGCAUGAGGGAGCAAGGAAGAUGCAGAGGAAGGUGGAGAUGGUGGAGGAGAAGUUGGCACACGUGCAGGCAGCCUUGCGGCGCCGGGCAGCAGACCUGCGUGACUCCCUAGUGCUGUCUGAGUUCCUGCAGGACUUGCAAGAGGAGGAGGCACGGAGCCAGCAGGAACCUGCAGUGCCAGGGAGCAGCCAUUGCAGCUUGCAGGGGUCUUUUCCCCUGCUCUCAGCCCAGGCCGGGCAGCUGCUGAGCAGCGAGGACAUGAGCCACCCUUUGGGAGAGCUGCAGGAGGCCGUGGAGAUGCUGAACGAUGCAGUGAAGGAGAGGGAACGGGUCAUGGAGGUGGCUGCAGAGACAGAGAGCCUGGAGCGCCUGGUGGCAGAGGUGUCCCCACGCCUGGAGGCCCUUCGAUGCAGAGCCGAGGCUCUGGCUAGAGACACUGCCCAAGCAGAAAGUGGCUUCACCACAGUGAAGAGCGAGAAGGACCUCCAGGGGCUGCAGGGCUUGCUAAACCGGCAGCAGGAGAUGGAGCGUGCAGUGUCAGAGACCCUGCAGGGGCAGCUGGAGGAGCUGGAGAGGGCAGCUGCCCGCUUGCAAGAGCUCUGCCCUGCUCGGCUGUGUCCCGUCAGCCAGGAGGUGCAGGGGACGUUGCAGGCCUGGGCAGGGCUGCAGGACUUGCUGCGGGAGACCCGGGUCCAUGUGCAGCAGGCCAGCCAGCUGCGGCACUUCUUCAAGGAUUACUUAGCCAUGAUCUCCUGGACGGAGGACACACGGGCUCAGAUCUUCUCUGAAAGUCCAAGCAGCCAUGGCCUCUUGGAGACUCCGUGUGAGGAGCUGGAGAGGAGGAUUGAAGGGAAGAUCAAGGAAUUUGAGGCACUGGCAGCAUCGGGGAAGCAGCUGGUGUCUGAGGAGCACUACCUGAGCGCAACAAUAAAGGAGCGCUUGGAGGAGCUACAGAGCAUGCUGGGCUGGGUGCUGGUGCGCUGGAGAGCACAGAGGCACCAGCGGGACCCAAGGAGCAAGCAGGAGGACAGAAGGGUCCUGGAGAGCCCAUCAGACACGUCCUCCACUGGCCAAGUGAGUACCCAGCCCCAUUGAGACUGUUGGGGAGCAGGACCAGCCUCAAGGCUGAGGGUCACAGAGGCAGUAGACAG
RNAcentral lists this long non-coding RNA (1537 nucleotides) under Athene cunicularia (burrowing owl). RNAcentral describes it as "lncRNA (ENSACUG00000013822.1)". Lineage: Eukaryota; Metazoa; Chordata; Aves; Strigiformes; Strigidae. The record is from RNAcentral.